UCUCAGAGACAGUUGAAGCAAACAAAAGAAACCCAACUUGUACCAAUCAGUAUCUCAGAAGGAAACAGAUGACACAAACAGAUUGAAGUGAGUUCAAGUAAGGGACUAUGUGCAAAGAUGUGGCUAGGCUUGAGGGGAUCAGUGAGAUGGGGUAAAGCAUCCAGGGUUUACCUCCCCUGGCCUGGAGGGGCAAGGGGGAGAGCAGGCACCAGUGCCUGAGGGAGGCACAGCCCUGGAAAAGGUGACUGGCAGACACUGUGGCCUUCCUUAGUGGCACACAGACUCUGCAGAAACAUGCAUCUGACAGCAGGAGUGAAUGCUCCCACCUCUCUCCAUCCAUCCUCUGAUCUGCUACUGGUGAGAGCUGAGAUCCACUUCUUAUUAGAUCCACACACUAGAAGGAGGACAAGGGAUUCUGGGAGAUGAAUAAACAGCCCCCAGGGAACAGAGCCAAGUGGAGAGCGGUGGAGAGAGGAUACCCUAAGGGGAAAACACAGAAUCUCCUCCUCACACUCCAAGGACUAAUUCAUUCCAUCUAGAAAGUGCGACUCCAUCCAAGGUUCAGAAACUCCUCCAAAUACUGGCUUCUCUAUAAAGCCCACCCUGAUGUCUGAUUCCUGAAUCCCAGCUAGCUCCUUCUCCUGACUCAGCAACCUGUACCAUCACUGAAGUUCUUCUGCCAGUUGCCCUGGUAAUACAGUGCAUCAGACCUGUCCGUCUCCCGAGGUAGACUCCAGUUAGCUAUGCGAAGGCAGAUAGCAAGCGUUCAACAAGUGUUGGCUGUAUCAGUCGGGAGGAAGCAUUCCAUUUUGGAGGGGAAGAAAAGAGUUGGAACCAGAGAGUGAAUCACAAAAUCCAGUUUCAGUUAACAGGAAAUGGAGUCUGAACUCCAGCUGGUGGAAGGCUCUACUCUGAAACUUUGGAAUCAGAACUUCACAACUUGUCGGGGAAGUACAGUAAUUGGCAAAUUUGAUGAGUGCGCCUGACCAUUUUGUUGGAUACUAUAAGAGCAAUUGCUCAAGGCAUUGCACAAGCUGGGGGGAUAUAUUUGCAGGAGUGCAUUGGGAACCAAGCCCCACUUUCCUGGGUCUCAGACAGAGGAACUGAAGGAUGCAUGUAAUCCAGUGCCAAAUUCCAGAUGCUGAAAUGAAAUCAGAAUUGCAGGAAUCCAAGGGAAGAGGAAUAAGGAUGACCCAUGUCCCAGAGCACCUGGUCCUGUGCAUCUUGUCCUGAGUGCUCGGCUAGGAGUGAAGCUCCCAGAGAACUCACUCUUCACCUACAGCACCUGCCCACGGCACCUUCCUACGUAGCAGAACUAAACUCUGGCACGCAGAGAAUCCACCUCCAAAAAUUGGUGCAAAAUCUAUUCAUGAGCAUUAUCAACAUUUGUUUUAUUUUAAGAAAUUGUUCUCAACUCUCAUGACUGAAUGUUUACUUCCAGGUAGUGUGUUUGCUAGUCUGAAAGUGGUUCUGCUCUGAAUUACUGGGACUUAGAGACUCACUGAGACUAAGGCCUCAUGCCUUUGUAGCUUUCCAAGGUAAAACUUAUUCGAAGCAACUCUUGUGGAUCUAAAGUUAACAUAGUUUGCACAUUAUAGUAACAUUAAUAGUUGGG
This 1615-nucleotide long non-coding RNA is filed under the name Homo sapiens (human). Its description in RNAcentral is "HSALNT0197267". The record is from RNAcentral. Lineage: Eukaryota; Metazoa; Chordata; Mammalia; Primates; Hominidae.